CGUACACUCCUGCGGGAGGCAGCAGUGGGGAAUUUUGGACAAUGGGCGCAAGCCUGAUCCAGCCAUGCCGCGUGCGGGAAGAAGGCCUUCGGGUUGUAAACCGCUUUUGUCAGGGAAGAAAAGGUUCUGGCUAAUACCUGGGACUCAUGACGGUACCUGAAGAAUAAGCACCGGCUAACUACGUGCCAGCAGCCGCGGUAAUACGUAGGGUGCAAGCGUUAAUCGGAAUUACUGGGCGUAAAGCGUGCGCAGGCGGUUAUGCAAGACAGAGGUGAAAUCCCCGGGCUCAACCUGGGAACUGCCUUUGUGACUGCAUGGCUAGAGUACGGUAGAGGGGGAUGGAAUUCCGCGUGUAGCAGUGAAAUGCGUAGAUAUGCGGAGGAACACCGAUGGCGAAGGCAAUCCCCUGGACCUGUACUGACGCUCAUGCACGAAAGCGUGGGGAGCAAACAGGAUUAGAUACCCCAGUAGUCCC
RNAcentral lists this ribosomal RNA (475 nucleotides) under uncultured organism. RNAcentral's name for it is "partial 16S ribosomal RNA". It matches the Rfam family "Bacterial small subunit ribosomal RNA", at positions 330 to 797 of the family's 1533-position model. The record is from RNAcentral.